UACGUAGGGUGCGAGCGUUAAUCGGAAUUACUGGGCGUAAAGCGUGCGCAGGCGGUUUUGUAAGUCAGAUGUGAAAUCCCCGGGCUUAACCUGGGAAUGGCAUUUGGGACUGCAAGGCUUGAGUGCGGCAGAGGAGACUGGAAUUCCUGGUGUAGCAGUGAAAUGCGUAGAUAUCAGGAGGAACACCGGUGGCGAAGGCGGCUCACUGGCUCAUUACUGACGCUCAGGCGCGACAGCGUGGGGAUCAAACAGG
Molecule: ribosomal RNA, 253 nt
Filed under: uncultured bacterium
Lineage: Bacteria
Description: partial 16S ribosomal RNA
Rfam family: Bacterial small subunit ribosomal RNA
Source: RNAcentral